This 417-nucleotide ribosomal RNA is filed under the name uncultured microorganism. Its description in RNAcentral is "bacterial SSU rRNA". It matches the Rfam family "Bacterial small subunit ribosomal RNA", at positions 9 to 416 of the family's 1533-position model. The record is from RNAcentral.
GAGUUUGAUCGUGGCUCAGGACGAACGCUGGCGGCGUGCCUAAUACAUGCAAGUCGAGCGAAUCACCGGGAGCUUGCUCUCGGCGAUUAGCGGCGGACGGGUGAGUAACGCGUGGGCAACCUGCCUGUAAGACUGGGAUAACUUCGGGAAACCGGAGCUAAUACCGGAUCAAUCUUUUCCUCGCAUGAGGAAAAGCUAAAAGACGGUUUCGGCUGUCACUUACAGAUGGGCCCGCGGCGCAUUAGCUAGUUGGUGAGGUAACGGCUCACCAAGGCGACGAUGCGUAGCCGACCUGAGAGGGUGAUCGGCCACACUGGGACUGAGACACGGCCCAGACUCCUACGGGAGGCAGCAGUAGGGAAUCUUCCGCAAUGGACGAAAGUCUGACGGAGCAACGCCGCGUGAGUGAUGAAGGCC